RNAcentral lists this ribosomal RNA (237 nucleotides) under uncultured bacterium. RNAcentral describes it as "partial 16S ribosomal RNA". It matches the Rfam family "Bacterial small subunit ribosomal RNA", at positions 15 to 261 of the family's 1533-position model. The record is from RNAcentral.
GAUCAUGGCUCAGGAUGAACGCUGGCGGCGUGCCUAACACAUGCAAGUCGAGCGAUUCUCUUCGGAGAAGAGCGGCGGACGGGUGAGUAACGCGUGGGUAACCUGCCCUGUACACACGGAUAACAUACCGAAAGGUAUGCUAAUACGGGAUAACAUAAGAAAUUCGCAUGUUUUUCUUAUCAAAGCUCCGGCGGUACAGGAUGGACCCGCGUCUGAUUAGCUAGUUGGUGAGUAGUA